GAUGAACGCUGGCGGCGUGCCUAAUACAUGCAAGUCGAGCGAACAGACGAGGAGCUUGCUCCUCUGACGUUAGCGGCGGACGGGUGAGUAACACGUGGAUAACCUACCUAUAAGACUGGGAUAACUUCGGGAAACCGGAGCUAAUACCGGAUAAUAUAUUGAACCGCAUGGUUCAAUAGUGAAAGACGGUUUUGCUGUCACUUAUAGAUGGAUCCGCGCUGCAUUAGCUAGUUGGUAAGGUAACGGCUUACCAAGGCAACGAUGCGUAGCCGACCUGAGAGGAGGAUCAGCCACACAGGAACUAAGGCACGGCGCUGACUCCUACGGGAGGGAGCAGCAGGGAAUAUUUCUCAAGGGGCGGAAGAAUGACGGAGCAACCCCGCGUGGGUGAUGAAGGCCUUCGGGUCGUAAAACACUUUUGUUAGUAAAGAAAAAAAGUAUAAUAAAAUUUUCACAUCCUGACGGUAGCUAAUGAAAAAGCAACGGCGAACUACGUG
Molecule: ribosomal RNA, 497 nt
Filed under: uncultured bacterium
Lineage: Bacteria
Description: partial 16S ribosomal RNA
Rfam family: Bacterial small subunit ribosomal RNA
Source: RNAcentral